This 514-nucleotide ribosomal RNA is filed under the name Halobacillus sp. SS12-1. Its description in RNAcentral is "bacterial SSU rRNA". It matches the Rfam family "Bacterial small subunit ribosomal RNA", at positions 214 to 719 of the family's 1533-position model. Lineage: Bacteria; Bacillati; Bacillota; Bacilli; Caryophanales; Bacillaceae. The record is from RNAcentral.
AUCACUUACAGAUGGGCCCGCGGCGCAUUAGCUAGUUGGUGAGGUAACGGCUCACCAAGGCGACGAUGCGUAGCCGACCUGAGAGGGUGAUCGGCCACACUGGGACUGAGACACGGCCCAGACUCCUACGGGAGGCAGCAGUAGGGAAUCUUCCGCAAUGGACGAAAGUCUGACGGAGCAACGCCGCGUGAACGAUGAAGGUCUUCGGAUCGUAAAGUUCUGUUGUUAGGGAAGAACAAGUACCGUGCGAAUAGAGCGGUACCUUGACGGUACCUAACGAGGAAGCCCCGGCUAACUACGUGCCAGCAGCCGCGGUAAUACGUAGGGGGCAAGCGUUGUCCGGAAUUAUUGGGCGUAAAGCGCGCGCAGGCGGUUCCUUAAGUCUGAUGUGAAAGCCCACGGCUCAACCGUGGAGGGUCAUUGGAAACUGGGGAACUUGAGGACAGAAGAGGAGAGUGGAAUUCCACGUGUAGCGGUGAAAUGCGUAGAUAUGUGGAGGAACACCAGUGGCGAA